Molecule: long non-coding RNA, 659 nt
Organism: Antechinus flavipes (yellow-footed antechinus)
Lineage: Eukaryota; Metazoa; Chordata; Mammalia; Dasyuromorphia; Dasyuridae
Exons: 6
Source: RefSeq, a predicted model, not a curated record
UGAGAACAUGGAAAGAAAGAGAAAUAAAUGGGAACAAUAGAAAAAGAAAAAUGAGAAAGUCUUAGAGGGAAAUUUUUAGUUAAGACAGGGGGAAGGAUCUGAAGAAGAGUGAGGCAGUGGUCCCUUAUCAUCUACUCUUCCACUGUACCCCAAAAUGCCAAGAGAGAACUAUUCUGUUAGUGGAGGAGGAAAUAGAGCUCAUGUAUUUCAUCAAAAUAUCUCUGAAAGAAGACACAACCUCAAUGAAAACAAAAAGAGGAAAUUAAAAACAGAACACAAAUAAUGGAAAGCAACUGCCUUUCUUCCAGAGAUGAUGAGAAAACUGGCCAUUUGGAGGAGGAGGAAGAGAAGAUAAAAAAAGAGGAAACUGAGGUUGGAAAGGGGGCUGACUUCUCCUUAUAUUAUCUCUAUUACUGUUAUCCUAGUUACAGAGCUAUCCAUCAUAAAAUCUAUGAACAAAUAUAAAUGACGUCUGAGAAACUAGAUCACAAGACACUUUAAUAUUUCAUGAACUUCUAACCUAGAUCAGGAGUAUGUUGAAGCAUCCAUAAAAGAUUCAAUGAGCCUUUUUUGUGUAUAGAUAUAUUUAGAUGAUAAUUGUUAAUUUUCAAUGACAUUUAUACCUCCUUAAUGGAUAAAUCCUACAAACUAGGGUUUUU